CGUUCGCGGCGACCGUGAACUUCCGGUUCACGGUGUUGGGUUUUAAAAAAAUCGUGAAAAUUACGUUUCUGAUUAAAAAUCGAUUAUGUCAUGCAUUUUUAGGCAGACAAAAGGUUAAAGAACAGUCACGCAUUUGUUUUGUGUUCAUUCAUUGUUUAUUUCCGCUGCAGUUGACGUCCGAAGUUACUACUCGAAUAAAAUCAACUUUUGCUGUUAAAAAGAACAUUUUAUGAGCUGAUCCUUCUGGCAAAAAUACCACUUUGCCAAUUAUUAUAAAGAUUGUCAUUUUGAUUUUCUUAUAAUGCCGCCAAAGAAGCGUAAGCUUAUGCCCCCAGCACCAACAGGCAAAUGUCGACUUUUGCUUGAAGAACGGUAUAAAGAGAUUCCUGUUGAUGCUGAAGACUUGCUGAAUGGUCAUGUGGUUUUAAAAUUCAUGUAGGAGUCAAAAUUGUUUGCACCAACUACAAAGUUUUUUGCUGAACACAUGGGCUUACAGAUUACAAAGAAUAAAAUCCAGUUACUUGUAAAUAGAACAAUUAAAAAGUACACUCAUAUGAACAGAGAGAAGGAAGUUUCUAUGUUAAUAGCUAAUUGUGAUGAGAAGUACAAGCAUGAGAAAAAACAACAAGAACCGGGAACUUCAGCAGAACAGGCAGUUAGACGAAAGUUGACCCAAACAACUUCUUUGGUUACUGUAACACCAUCUACAUCUG
This is a long non-coding RNA of Anneissia japonica, 713 nucleotides long. RefSeq lists it as uncharacterized. Lineage: Eukaryota; Metazoa; Echinodermata; Crinoidea; Comatulida; Comatulidae. The transcript is spliced from 3 exons. The record is from RefSeq and is a predicted model, not a curated record.